Molecule: ribosomal RNA, 497 nt
Filed under: uncultured bacterium
Lineage: Bacteria
Description: partial 16S ribosomal RNA
Rfam family: Bacterial small subunit ribosomal RNA
Source: RNAcentral
GAUGAACGCUGGCGGCGUGCCUAAUACAUGCAAGUCGAGCGAACGGACGAGAAGCUUGCUUCUCUGAUGUUAGCGGCAGACGGGUGAGUAACACGUGGAUAACCUACCUAUAAGACUGGGAUAACUUCGGGAAACCGGAGCUAAUACCGGAUAAUAUUUUGAACCGCAUGGUUCAAAAGUGAAAGACGGUCUUGCUGUCACUUAUAGAUGGAUCCGCGCUGCAUUAGCUAGUUGGUAAGGUAACGGCUUACCAAGGCAACGAUGCAUAGCCGACCUGAGAGGGUGAUCGGCCACACUGGAACGGAGACACGGUCCAGACUCCUACGGGAGGCAGCAGUAGGGAAUCUUCCGCAAUGGGCGAAAGCCUGACGGAGCAACGCCGCGUGAGUGAUGAAGGUCUUCGGAUCGUAAAACUCUGUUAUUAGGGAAGAACAUAUGUGUAAGUAACUGUGCACAUCUUGACGGUACCUAAUCAGAAAGCCACGGCUAACUACGUG